GAAUGUGGGCACGUCCUACUGUCACUGUGCUACAGCUCUCAGCAGGGUGGCUUGCUGGUAGGUGUGCUGCGCUGCGCCCACCUGGCCCCCAUGGAUGCCAAUGGUUACUCGGACCCCUUCGUGCGCCUGUGAGUGAACUGGGGUAGGCAGGCGGGAGGUGAGGAUAAGGCGGUGACUCCUCACCUCUCCAGGGCCACACCUAACCCGCCAAUCUUCCCCGAUCAGUUUCCUGCAUCCAAAUGCAGGGAAGAAAUCUAAAUUCAAAACCAGUGUUCACAGGAAGACCCUGAACCCCGAGUUCAAUGAGGUGAGCCAGGGCCAGGCAGGUCCCAGCCAACCCUGGCCUUGACAUGCUGAGCCACUACCCUACCGUGGCCUGCUUCUUAAGCUGUGGGAGAGCCGAGGCUGCCUCCUUCCCGCCUCUCUGCCCUUCUCCCUGCAGGAAUUCUUUUACUCAGGCCCACGGGAGGAGCUGGCCCAGAAGACGCUGCUGGUGUCUGUGUGGGACUAUGACCUAGGCACGGCUGAUGACUUCAUUGGCGGGGUGCAGCUGGGCAGCCAUGCCAGUGGGGAGCGCCUGCGGCACUGGCUUGAGUGCCUGGGCCACAGUGACCACCGCCUGAAGCUGUGGCACCCGCUGGACAGCAAGCCUGUCCAGCUCAGCGACUAGCCCAUGGGCCCUGCCUGCCGCCCCUCCACUACAGCUGCCUGAAACGUCCCCACAAAAAUGAUGGCGGCUGGGGCUGCCUUACCCUCAUGCCCAGCCCCAAGUCAGAGAGGUGUUUCCUCUCUCCCCGCUUUCACAUUCACCCCACCCCAAAUCAUGGAGCCGAAAUAAACAUCUCCUUCAAGCC
Long non-coding RNA from Homo sapiens (human), 854 nucleotides. Lineage: Eukaryota; Metazoa; Chordata; Mammalia; Primates; Hominidae. The record is from Ensembl.